AUGUUGUAAGAAAGGAGAGAAGGUUAGCGCUGCCCUUGACAAGGACGGAAGACGACCUAGUGGCUUGCAACACAUAUAAGUUUAU
Small nuclear RNA from Clarias gariepinus (North African catfish), 85 nucleotides. NCBI's taxonomy places the organism in Eukaryota, Metazoa, Chordata, Actinopteri, Siluriformes, Clariidae. The record is from RefSeq and is a predicted model, not a curated record.